RNAcentral lists this ribosomal RNA (495 nucleotides) under uncultured bacterium. RNAcentral describes it as "partial 16S ribosomal RNA". It matches the Rfam family "Bacterial small subunit ribosomal RNA", at positions 28 to 507 of the family's 1533-position model. The record is from RNAcentral.
GAUGAACGCUGGCGGCGUGCCUAAUACAUGCAAGUAGAACGCUGAAGGAGGAGCUUGCUCUUCUGGAUGAGUUGCGAACGGGUGAGUAACGCGUAGGUAACCUGCCUGGUAGCGGGGGAUAACUAUUGGAAACGAUAGCUAAUACCGCAUGACAACAGUUAUUGCAUGAUAACUGUUUAAAAGGGGCAACUGCUCCACUAACAGAUGGACCUGCGUUGUAUUAGCUAGUUGGUGAGGUAACGGCUCACCAAGGCGACGAUACAUAGCCGACCUGAGAGGGUGAUCGGCCACACUGGGACUGAGACACGGCCCAGACUCCUACGGGAGGCAGCAGUAGGGAAUCUUCGGCAAUGGACGGAAGUCUGACCGAGCAACGCCGCGUGAGUGAAGAAGGUUUUCGGAUCGUAAAGCUCUGUUGCAAGAGAAGAACGAGUGUGAGAGUGGAAAGUUCACACUGUGACGGUAUCUUACCAGAAAGGGACGGCUAACUACGUG